AAUCAAUGUAGAGUACCUAGUGUGCUUCAGGUAAUCUCUUGACAUUUUAAUGUUGAUAGAAUAUAACCUUGACCUACAAAGUAGACUGGUGGAGGCAGUUCCACCACCAGGGGAUACAGUCACUACAGCUGUAAGGGGACACCUGCAGCCUCCCCACCCCCUGGGCCACUGCUGUUUAGCAUAGUGAAGAAGGGGCCCAGAAGACUCAAUUUUCCAUCUCCUGCAAAUCCUUUUCAACUCUCGUGAGCCCCGGUUGUCAGAGCAUUGCUCUGGGUUACCACGGCAACACACCAAUGCAGCACACAAGAGACGAAGAGGACCUGCCAGAAGGGGAAAUUGGAGUCUCCAGUGCCCCCUCUUUUUUCUUAGGCUGUAAACUCAUCUCAUA
Molecule: non-coding RNA, 388 nt
Organism: Pelobates cultripes (western spadefoot toad)
Lineage: Eukaryota; Metazoa; Chordata; Amphibia; Anura; Pelobatidae
Source: the annotation of a GenBank genome assembly